This 460-nucleotide ribosomal RNA is filed under the name uncultured bacterium. RNAcentral describes it as "partial 16S ribosomal RNA". It matches the Rfam family "Bacterial small subunit ribosomal RNA", at positions 338 to 795 of the family's 1533-position model. The record is from RNAcentral.
CCUACGGGAGGCAGCAGUGAGGAAUAUUGGUCAAUGGACGGAAGUCUGAACCAGCCAUGCCGCGUGCAGGAAGACGGCUCUAUGAGUUGUAAACUGCUUUUGUACAAGGGUAAACCUGAAUACGUGUAUUCAGCUGAAAGUACUGUACGAAUAAGGAUCGGCUAACUCCGUGCCAGCAGCCGCGGUAAUACGGAGGAUCCAAGCGUUAUCCGGAUUUAUUGGGUUUAAAGGGUGCGUAGGCGGAUUGAUAAGUUAGAGGUGAAAUGUCCGAGCUUAACUCGAGAACUGCCUCUAAUACUGUUGGUCUAGAGAGUAGAUGCGGUAGGCGGAAUGUAUGGUGUAGCGGUGAAAUGCUUAGAGAUCAUACAGAACACCGAUUGCGAAGGCAGCUUACCAAUCUAUAUCUGACGUUGAGGCACGAAAGCGUGGGGAGCAAACAGGAUUAGAUACCCGGGUAGUC